UUUAAAGUCGGUCCCGAACGGAUCAGUUUUAUUAAUACUUAAUGAUUAAGAAGUGUAUUUUAUGUCCGAUAUGAUCCAAAUGGGGGCCAGUUAUUCGUAAUUAUAAAUAGGAUAAUUACUAUUUUAUUUUUCAUAAUUAUCAUUUCAAUACACGAGAAUCGAGAGAAACUGGUAGUUCGUUCUUCGCGUUCUUGAAGUUCAAUCGAAGGUUUGAAGGCGUUAUCGAUCUCAGAAUCAAGCAUACAAGUAGUCCAAUCGAAGGUAUCGACGCGUAGAAUCCAUAUCAAGUCUCAGAAACAGGUAUAGAUUCACCGUUGGGGAGUAAUUUGAGUUUGAAAUUUCGUAUGAAUUAGGGUUAAAUUAGGGUUUUUUGAUUUUGAUGUGUUUUAUGUGAU
Molecule: long non-coding RNA, 395 nt
Filed under: Daucus carota (carrot)
Lineage: Eukaryota; Viridiplantae; Streptophyta; Magnoliopsida; Apiales; Apiaceae
Description: long non-coding RNA (DCAR_LNC001999)
Source: RNAcentral